Monodelphis domestica (gray short-tailed opossum) is the source of this 1004-nucleotide long non-coding RNA. RefSeq lists it as uncharacterized. Lineage: Eukaryota; Metazoa; Chordata; Mammalia; Didelphimorphia; Didelphidae. The record is from RefSeq and is a predicted model, not a curated record.
AUAAAUCCAAAAUAUCUCAUCUCGGUCAUGGGGGGGGGGAGGGAGAGGGGAAGAGAGAAGAACAGUCACCCUCUCUCUGUUUUACUGGACUACAUAUUUGCUAAAAGGGGUUUCUUUUUUUUUUCUUCUUCUUCCACGUGGGGGGGGGAAGGGAGAGAAAAUAGAUUUUUUUGUUAGAUUAAAAAAAAUUACCUUUUAAGGCCAUCUAUCCUUAUUUCAUUGAAAAAAUUCAUCGAAAGUGUUGAAUGACUUGUAAUUUUUAACAAGAUGACAUUAGCCACGUUUCCAAACGCAAACUAGCAAAGGAGAGAUGUUCCCUUCUUUACGCGCCUGCCUUUUCUUUUGGAUUUUGAGGACUUCCCCGAAUUUUGAUCCCUGUCCCCCCUGGCCAUGUAGUCCAAGGACACGACCUGAAAUCCCAAGCCAACCUAGGCGCUCUUCCCCUACCUGGGGUUUCCAAGCAGCGAAGGAAGCUGUGGACUCGGCCGAUUACCAUCUCCCAUGGCUCCGCGUGUCUCUGGCGUGUGAAUGUGAAAAAUGAGAGUGCUGUGUUGGAAUCUGGGCCAAGUGAAGCGGAAAAUCCACGAAAGUUGCAUUUUGAGAAUGACAAGACACCUGGGCUGCUUAUGAGGCUUCUCCCAAUGCUUUCAGGGAAACUAGUAGAGACUCAAAGGAAAAAGGACCUUCUUGCCCAAGUAUGUUGAACAAUUGCACCACCUAGCGUCUUCCUCUCUGCUAUGUCUUCAAUAUUCACCUCAGAUUGCGAUGACCUUAUUCUCUACUUGCUAUCCUGAAUCUCUUCUAUGCUGAUAUCCUUUGAUUACCUGCCAUAUCCACAAUUCUGUCUGAUCUCUGGGUCCUAACCAUCUUUUAUUGGACCCAUCCUGCCAAGGAGCAAACCUUGGUUGUGAAACCAAACAAAAAAUAAAUACUAGGGCAAUCAUUUAAGAUAGAUAAGUUUCAUUCUAACAACAGAUUAUAUAAAUAAAAUUGAAAUAAAUUCA